CCAUCGUCUUCAUCUUCUUCUUUGUCCAUCCAUCUUCGCCACCUCAAGCCACCAACAACACGGCCGUGGACUCGUCUUUAUUCUUCUACCUUUCAUCCCAAAAUCCAAUCAAACCAAAAAAACAUCUUCCCACCGUCGACCAUCGCAGCAUCAAUCGCCACCCUCGCCUACUUAAACCCAUUUCCAAAAUUCCAAGUUUUCCUUGCCCAAAAUCCACUUCCCCACACAACGAAUAAAAAUCAUAUGAACAUGUUCAAAGAAAUGGAUACCAAAAAUGAUUGCAUUAACAACGUAGCAUAACCUUAGAAAUAGUAGUCUUCUUUUCCCCUUUUUCCCCUUUUGGCAGCAAUCUGCUUCGCAUCCAUUUUGUUCCCCUUUAGGCAACAAUCUAUUUCACAUCCAUUUUUCCCUCUUAUGCCAAUACAAAGUGGAGAAUCCACACAUUCACAGAUGAAGGUGACUGGCGCAGUGUGAUUGCUUGGCGGUUAUGGUGCCACAUGUCCCACGCAACCUCUUCUACUACUCCAAUGUUCUGAGUAGAGGGUCUUUAACUACUCGCGGGUAAUUUCAUGGGGGUUAACACUCCAAUAUAGCUGUAGAGUGCUCAUAGGGGUCGACGAUCUAGCGUAGGCAUAGAGUACUCAUGGGGGUCGACGACUUGGCAUGGACGUAAAGUGCUCAUGGGGUCGAGGACAUCAUAGUGGUUGACAACCUGACAUAAAAUGCAAAGUGCCUAUUGAAUAGCCUUCACCUUGUUGGUCACCAUAGACGACUAUCAAUGCUAUUUAAUAUCAAGGGGUUUUGCUUCUAGUUUAAAUUCAUCUACAUAUAAGGGAUUGUUAUGGGUUUUGUCUUAUAUAGUAGUGGUGGCAGUUUGCAAUGGUGAUUUGAUGUGGUAGUGUUGGUGAUUGGUGCGGCGAUGGCAGUUUGAUAUAGUGGUGGCAUUGGGAAGGUGUCUUUCUUCUUUGAGUAUGGGAGUGGGGGAGGAGAAUGUUCAGUUUAUUUUCCUUCUCUCUCUUUUAAUUUUUGAUUUUAAUAUUUUCAUAGUUUAUAAUAGGGAAAUGCAAAGUCA
Long non-coding RNA from Olea europaea var. sylvestris, 1072 nucleotides. RefSeq lists it as uncharacterized. NCBI's taxonomy places the organism in Eukaryota, Viridiplantae, Streptophyta, Magnoliopsida, Lamiales, Oleaceae. The transcript has 3 exons. The record is from RefSeq and is a predicted model, not a curated record.